Molecule: ribosomal RNA, 467 nt
Filed under: uncultured bacterium
Lineage: Bacteria
Description: partial 16S ribosomal RNA
Rfam family: Bacterial small subunit ribosomal RNA
Source: RNAcentral
GACGAACGCUGGCGGCGUGCUUAACACAUGCAAGUCGAACGGAAAGGCUCCAGCUUGCUGGAGUACUCGAGUGGCGAACGGGUGAGUAACACGUGGGUAAUCUGCCCUGCACUCUGGGAUAAGCCUGGGAAACUGGGUCUAAUACUGGAUAUGACCUUUCUCCUUAUGGGGUUUGGUGGAAAGUUUUUCGGUGUAGGAUGAGCCCGCAGCCUAUCAGCUUGUUGGUGGGGUGAUGGCCUACCAAGGCGACGACGGGUAGCCGGCCUGAGAGGGUGAUCGGCCACAUUGGGACUGAGAUACGGCCCAGACUCCUACGGGAGGCAGCAGUGGGGAAUAUUGCACAAUGGGCGGAAGCCUGAUGCAGCGACGCCGCGUGAGGGAUGACGGCCUUCGGGUUGUAAACCUCUUUCAGCAGGGACGAAGCGUAAGUGACGGUACCUGCAGAAGAAGCACCGGCUAACUAUGUG